UCUACAAUAGCUCAGUUGGUAGAGCAUGAGAUUCUUAUUCUCAGGGUCAUGGGUUUGAACCCCAUGUUGGGUGAAAGAU
Molecule: non-coding RNA, 79 nt
Organism: Podarcis lilfordi (Lilford's wall lizard)
Lineage: Eukaryota; Metazoa; Chordata; Lepidosauria; Squamata; Lacertidae
Source: the annotation of a GenBank genome assembly